CGGCGGACGGGUGAGUAACGCGUGGGUAACCUGCCUCAUACAGGGGGAUAACAGUUGGAAACGGCUGCUAAUACCGCAUAAGCGCACAGUACCGCAUGGUACGGUGUGAAAAACUCCGGUGGUAUGAGAUGGACCCGCGUCUGAUUAGGUAGUUGGUGGGGUAACGGCCUACCAAGCCGACGAUCGGUAGCCGACCUGAGAGGGUGACCGGCCACAUUGGGACUGAGACACGGCCCAA
Molecule: ribosomal RNA, 238 nt
Filed under: uncultured bacterium
Lineage: Bacteria
Description: partial 16S ribosomal RNA
Rfam family: Bacterial small subunit ribosomal RNA
Source: RNAcentral